RNAcentral lists this long non-coding RNA (233 nucleotides) under Lathyrus oleraceus (garden pea). RNAcentral's name for it is "Pisum sativum (pea) long non-coding RNA (PSAT_LNC006532)". Lineage: Eukaryota; Viridiplantae; Streptophyta; Magnoliopsida; Fabales; Fabaceae. The record is from RNAcentral.
GUGUAUGGUGAGCGCGCGCCUCCUAGCCACGUGAUGAUCCACGUCAAUUAAUGAGAUCACAUCAGACGCUCCACGUUUUUUCAUUAUUUUUAUUUCUGAUUUUUAUUUCCUUUUAUUUCUUUUAAUUCCAUUUCAUUUUAAAAAUUCAUCUCUCCUUCAUUAUUGGUCCAAAAAAUGUGAGACCAAUUGCAUUUUUCUCCUUUUAAUUUCUAGUUUUUAAAAAUGAUUUUUAA